UAUUUUGUAUGUAAAGCCAUGAAUCAAAAUCACAAUUCAAAAAUUAUGUUCUGUGUAUUCUGUAGUUCUUUGCUCACUCAUUGCAAUUGGACGCACAAACCUACGGUCAACAAACAAGAGAGGACAGAGGCCAAUUUAGAAAAUAAUAGAAGUACAGAAAUAAUAUCAGAACCCACUUAAGUGUACAAUACGGUGUGGACCGACAUAUUUAUAUGAGGAUGUGCAUUAAUCGUUAAAUUUGAACCUUACAUUCUUGAACAAUCUGAGAUCAUACUAGCAAAUCAUUUAUACAAAAAUAAAUUCAUGAACUACGUGUAGUACAUCUGAUAAUUGUGGAUUGGUUCUGUACAAAUAAAUAGAUCAUAAAUUGUGCAAUAGUAGUCAUAAAUGCAUGUCUAUAGAAGCAUAUACAUCUAGUAGUUGUAGACAAAUUACAUAUAUAGAUAAAAAAUAGCAUAAAUACUGCAAUGUUGUCGAGAUCUACAUGCAUAUAUGGCAAUAGAUGGAAUCAGAAAACCUCAUCUUCAAUCGUUUGUAGCAAUUGAUGGGAUAUUAAUUUUUCAACAUGCUACUAUUGGAACAUAGAUACACAUAGAAAUCAGCAUAAAAUACCUCUGUCGUGGCAUAAACCUAAAUAAAUUUUGUCAUAUAUGCUAUGUCAUGGACAGUCAGGACAGAUGCAAUGACAUUGUAUAAAUCAUUAAUCAUACAUGUAUAGAAACUAACUGAAGCUAUCAUAGAAAUAUUAAUACUUUUCAAAAUAUCAAAUUUGAAUCAAAUUAUUUUAAAAACAUGUUGCACAUGUAAAACAAACAACUAAGGGAAGGAGCAAUCCUGACCACCUAGCCUCAACAAAAAUUGAUUAAAGUUUAUUAAGACAAGCAAAUCAAGCUAUUUCCAGUAGCAUACCAAACCCAUUGUCGCAACCACACAUAUGAUAUGUCUAUUAUAGAAACUCAAUUACAUGUUGUUCUGAGUGUAACUAAUGGUGGCAAUGACAAACCAGAUGCAAAUGCAAGCUGUAGGAGCAAGAUGAGAAUAAAGUAUGCAAUCAUUUGUUUUACCCUUGGAUCUAAUAAGCAUUUCAUCCAACAAUAGAGCUGCAAGCAAAAAGAGAGGCCUCACCUAUCUAGACGUCAAAUAACCAUGCACCUGCAAGCCGGGACCAGCAUGAUGACCAUGUCACUGGAUAACUAGAUCCAAGAGCUGCAGGACAUAUUCAUCUCCACAACAAUAUUAUUGGACUCAAACACCUAUAGGUCUGUAAAAACAGAGAAAAACAAAGGAAAUAAGAAAAAAUAAGCAUAUAUAGAGCGCCCCAUUGCCGCAUUCUCAUAUAAUGAAUUCAUCAAAUAUUCAUUGAAUUUCGAUCUGCAUAAUUUGUAUUGAAAGACUACAUAAAUGACUAUCAAAUUAUACUAGAUUGAUACAAAUUUGUGAAUUGAAGCAUAGGAGCCUGAUUUGGAUAGGGGUAUUGGUAUUUUAAUAGAAUAUAUGGUCGACAAUUCCAUUUAGUGGUUCAUAAAUGUAUCAAUCACUUAUUUGUACAAUGAUUUAAUAAUAUAUUAGUGGUUUAUUUGUAGAUAUGUUAUUUUCGGAUGACAAAUAUUAGCUAGAUCGAAACCACAAAUAAUGGUGGAUUAAAAAAGAAUGUUGCUAGUCAAAAUAAACGGUCCGUCCUCCAAGUAGCAUAUUCCCUGUUCAUCUUCUCUAGAUCCCUCUGCUACUUGUCCAUGCGCUGGAGGCAGAGAUACAUGAUCGCACGCCACUAGGACAUGGAUGCGGCAAAUUUUAAGAUGAUUUGGCAACAAAUUCACCCAUCCACUUGAGUGCACAUAAACUUGUUUUGCGUCUAAGUGCAUCAAAAAAUUGCAUAAAAAUGCAGAUCCGAUGGAAACAAAAGACGGGGAGAGCAAUGUACAUACACUCUCAAUCCAUCGGCUUGGGGGAGUGCAGGGCCCUCACCAUCGGCUUGGGGGAGCGCCUAGCCGGGAUGUAGGUCGCGCCGUCAGAUGCUGGGUCCAGUGGAGUCUGGCUGGGCGGUGUUCCUCGUGGGGGAAGCAGGAUGGGAUCCUGGGCGACGCAUGCUGUAUAGACGGUCUCCUCGCCUAUGGCGUAGGUGCGUCGAAGCGGUGUACCGGUGGUACUCCCCUGGCGUGGGCGUGAAGUGGUGGUGCAGCAGCGCCCGCGGCCUAGCAUUUUUGGCCCCGUCGUCGUCCGCCGCCGCCAUGGGGAUCAGAGCACACGCGGGUGCACAGAUCGGAGGACCAGUGCAUGAGGACGGGCGGAAUGCGGUUUCUAGGCGUCGGGAUCUGAGGGAGAGAUGGCGGGGCCGGAUGGGAGGUUAGGUUUUUGGGUGUGGGUGGGCAUGUGAGCGUUUGGAGGCGUGGAAU
Molecule: long non-coding RNA, 2393 nt
Filed under: Zea mays
Lineage: Eukaryota; Viridiplantae; Streptophyta; Magnoliopsida; Poales; Poaceae
Description: long non-coding RNA (ZMAY_LNC004509)
Source: RNAcentral